AGAGUUUGAUCCUGGCUCAGGAUGAACGCUAGCUACAGGCUUAACACAUGCAAGUCGAGGGGAAACGACAUCGAAAGCUUGCUUUUGAUGGGCGUCGACCGGCGCACGGGUGAGUAACGCGUAUCCAACCUGCCCACCACUUGGGGAUAACCUUGCGAAAGUAAGACUAAUACCCAAUGAUAUCUCUAGAAGACAUCUGAAAGAGAUUAAAGAUUUAUCGGUGAUGGAUGGGGAUGCGUCUGAUUAGCUUGUUGGCGGGGUAACGGCCCACCAAGGCUACGAUCAGUAGGGGUUCUGAGAGGAAGGUCCCCCACAUUGGAACUGAGACACGGUCCAAACUCCUACGGGAGGCAGCAGUGAGGAAUAUUGGUCAAUGGACGAGAGUCUGAACCAGCCAAGUAGCGUGCAGGAUGACGGCCCUAUGGGUCGUAAACUGCUUUUAUAAGGGAAUAAAGUGAGUCUCGUGAGGCUUUUUGCAUGUACCUUAUGAAUAAGGACCGGCUAAUUCCGUGCCAGCAGCCGCGGUAAUACGGAAGGUCCGGGCGUUAUCCGGAUUUAUUGGGUUUAAAGGGAGCGUAGGCCGGAGAUUAAGCGUGUUGUGAAAUGUAGACGCUCAACGUCUGCACUGCAGCGCGAACUGGUUUCCUUGAGUACGCACAAAGUGGGCGGAAUUCGUGGUGUAGCGGUGAAAUGCUUAGAUAUCACGAAGAACUCCGAUUGCGAAGGCAGCUCACUGGAGCGCAACUGACGCUGAAGCUCGAAAGUGCGGGUAUCGAACAGGAUUAGAUACCCUGGUAGUCCGCACGGUAAACGAUGGAUGCCCGCUGUUGGUCUGAAUAGGUCAGCGGCCAAGCGAAAGCAUUAAGCAUCCCACCUGGGGAGUACGCCGGCAACGGUGAAACUCAAAGGAAUUGACGGAAGG
This 922-nucleotide ribosomal RNA is filed under the name uncultured bacterium. RNAcentral's name for it is "bacterial SSU rRNA". It matches the Rfam family "Bacterial small subunit ribosomal RNA", at positions 8 to 920 of the family's 1533-position model. The record is from RNAcentral.